AACAGCCUAUCAACAAAAGCAUUUCAGCAUGGGACACAUCAGAGUUUACCUACUAGCAGGAGUAGAGUUUUAGACUGGAAUCAGUUUCCAGCUCUCCAAAAAAUGUUCCUCCACUUUGUAUCUACAUGCUUAUUUUGAUGGGCCAGACGUCUGUCUAUUGGCUUUGUUGCAUGAAUGAACUCAUCACCGAAACUCUCCAUAUCCAACGGUUCAUUGUUUUUAAAACACUAUGAAGCAUACUGGAUAUCGUCAUAAGUUAAACUUCUUUUUCUUGGGGAAAAUUACUUUAAAGCACUGAGUUUCAUUAAAAUCUUCAGAAAUCAAAAGGACAAUCUGAACCUCCAUUUUUCAUGUCAAAGUACUGAAGAGAUAGAAGGAACAUUAUCUUGUUGCUGUGGCUCAAGGAAUCAUUUGACAUAUUAAGGAAAGCACGGCUAUUGGGCAGAUCUGACAAAAUUAGCUCUGUUCUGUAAGAUGGCAACAUGUCUGGUACCCAGUAUUACCCCACAGGUCAUGUUACCUGAAAUUUAUAAAUCAGGCAAUGUAACUUAAAUUGAUUUCAUAGAGAAAUCAAGGGAACAAUAUGAUGGUGCUGCUUGUUUGGGUGGUAUAUGCAAGAUAAUUCAGCAGAGACUAUUUUCAACUAAGCAUUGGUGACAUUUGGGGAGACAAAAAAGCUUCUGACUAAUUUAGAAGUUCCUGUAUGUCUCAUCCUAAAAUGGGUCAGAGGGAACUGAUUUCUGAUUUAAACAUGAAAACCUAAAUAAGUGAAAGAAAGACUAUGGCUGAAGCUGCCUGCCAAGUGGCUCAAGAAAGGAAGCUAGAUUUGAGGAUCCAACUCACUAUUAGAAAAUCUAAGACUCUUAUCUCCCUGGAGGAAGUGAGGCCAAGUGCAAGACAAAGCAUCCUGAAACAAUCCUGGAUCCUGCACUUUUGGAGGUAAGGAGACCUUAGCAGAGUAAAGUCCCCAGAUGCCCAGGAUUUGAAGGACUCACAAGUGUACAGCCAUAGGAGAGAAGGAUUUAUCAUCAAAAGAACUGUAACUGAGAGAACCCCAGCUGUUCAUGAAACAGCCUGCAAGGAGAAGGGCCAACCUAAACAUCUGCCAUUGGAAGAGCAAGCCAGCCGAUAGAACCAGCAAGCAAGUGUGAUCCUGCCUCCCUCUUCUCUCCCAUCUCCCUACCCAACUCACCUGGUGUGUGGGAAUGGGGAGAAGAUGAAAGAACAAAGGAAGAAGCACACAGAAGAUGCAUUACCUAUGUAUCUCUGAAUUUCAGAGUUUUCAUUCUUACCCUAGAUUUUUCAUAUUCUUAACUGAACCAAGACUUAUUUGGAGACUCAGGUAACCAGAGGACUUAUUAUGAUCCAAGAGUGAGUAACAAACUCAGAGCACCCACUGAAAUUUUAUUCAGAAGCAGAAUAAUAUCUACCCCUACAGAAUGAAUUUAGAAAGGCAGCUGUGAGCAAAAAAUAAAUUUGUGUUAUACCCUACCAUAUAACACUCACCUAACAUUUUGUUAAAAGCACUAUUGGCUUCCUGUGAAGUACUUGAGGUCGAUCCUGUCAUUUGGUGACCCAGAGCCCCACUACAAGGAAGAGAAAGGCAAGCGCUGCCUUGCAUUUUUUGUCACUUCCAAGUCUAGCAUCUUAACUAACUCUCCCAACUCUAUGAGGCAUCUAGGUAGGUAUGAAUGUUCCCAUUUUACAAAAGGAAAAACUGAGGAUCAAAUCUGGGACUUGACUUAGCUAACAUCUAAAACCUUAAGCAUUGACAGCUCUAAUUUUAAGAACUCUUGUCAUCCAAACUUCUUAUUCAGUGCUUUUCCCAACAUGUAUGCUAUUUUCUUUAAAGGACAGGAUAAAGAUAAAAGGUUACUUACAAACACUAGAAUCCAUUUCUUUUACAUGAUUGGAAAUAAUUUCUCAGUGAAUAAAACUGAAAUAAUUAUAGCUGUUGGUUUUUUUAGAUAGCAACAUCAGCUUUGAAAUAAAGUCAAGAGUAGCAUAAAACAGUAUGACCCCAGGCAGAGUAGAUUAAAGCCUUUUUCCAAUCCCAGGCUGGUUGCUCUUUAUAGCUGGAUGGAUUUUGUUUUUCUUCCCUUAAAUAAUUUUAGGUGGUAGUUGCGGAGGGGAAGCUCUUUGUUUACACUAAAACAAAAUCUUGUGUACAAGCAACUCCUUUGGCAUAAAGCACAAGGCCAAUUAUCACUUUCUUUUUCCUUCCAUUUUUUCCCCCCACUGGCACAAAAUCUAAGAAAAGCCUCAAGGUGCAAAUGAUUUGCAGUCUAUUUAACAUCAUGGUUAUUUAUUUUUAUGAGACCUCAUUAUUGCUCUUUACCCUAAAUUAUAGGUACAUUCUUGGCUCCAUUUCCCACUCUUCACGAGCCCCAGAAUAGUGUUUUUCCCCCUAUAUUUCUAAAUAAUCUUCAAUACUUCAUCAAUCAAAUAUUUAACAUCUCAUAGAUGAUGUGUUGGACCAAAGCUAAGAUCUGUGAAAUCCAGUAGUCCAAGCCAGAACUUUGUGCCUAUCUUAUGACAUUGGAGUUGUUUCUGUUCCUAUUUACUCUAAACAUUCCUUGAAGGUAACCACUCUCCAUCUACAUGUCCGGAUCCAGUUCCUAGGAACUGAGAAAGUGUUGUAAAUUGAACUAUCCAUAACCCUAUAAAGGUCAUGUUACCAUUAUCUCUUUUUUAUGAAAAAGCAUACUGAGCCUCAAAAAGGUGAAAUAACCUUCCUAAGUCAAAGGAUAUCUAAGAAAAGGUCAGAACUUCAUUCCAGAUACCCUGAGUUCCAGAGUCUGUGUGCUGAUAUUACAUACACUCCCUGUCUUUGGUAAUCCUUCCAUAGAAUGUUCCCUGUAAACUUGAGGAAGACAGGAAAGACAGAAAAAGGUGGUGGUGGGGUGGAUAGACAGAGUAAGCAAGAGAAUUUCAUGUUAUCAAAAGUCAAGUCCUCAAACUGAGUUUGAACCUGCUUUUCCAGUUUUACUACCACCACUUCAUCCUACGUUCCCAUUAAACUGGUCUAUGCUGGCUAUACUAAGGAUAAGGAAUUUUUAAAAAUGGAUUGGUAUAUUGAUCUUCUAACCUGCAACCUGCUGUAUUUGCUUAUUAAUUCUAGUAGCUUUUCAUAAAUUCCACUGUAUUUUCAAUGUAGAUGAUCAUUUAAUCUAUGAAUAAAGAUAUUUUUUAUUCUUCC
Canis lupus familiaris (dog) is the source of this 3199-nucleotide long non-coding RNA. RefSeq lists it as uncharacterized. The transcript has 3 exons. NCBI's taxonomy places the organism in Eukaryota, Metazoa, Chordata, Mammalia, Carnivora, Canidae. The record is from RefSeq and is a predicted model, not a curated record.